UUAGGUUUACGAGCAAGAUUGACUAACUUUGUUACACAGAGUCAGACGAACUCAUAACUAGGAGUAAGGCUGGAGGACUGAGUGUCUAUAAGAAGUCAACACAAUCUGGAAGAUUGGAAUCAACAUGUCUGGCAGUCUCACUACAGGCAGCAGCUCCCCUGGGUUCACUACUAUAGCACCUCCCAGCACAGGUCUGAGUCUGGAUGCUGCUGACAUCACUGUGGUUGCUGUCUAUUUUAUCCUUGUCAUGGUGGUUGGAAUCUGGUCAUCAGUACGAGCCAAUCGCAGCACUGUAGGGGGCUACUUCUUGGCUGGUCGUUCAAUGACCUGGUGGCUU
Molecule: long non-coding RNA, 337 nt
Organism: Xiphias gladius (swordfish)
Lineage: Eukaryota; Metazoa; Chordata; Actinopteri; Istiophoriformes; Xiphiidae
Exons: 3
Source: RefSeq, a predicted model, not a curated record